UUAAAUUUCUUUAUUUACAUUUGAAUUGAUGUGUAGAGAAGCAAACAGGAGAUAUUACGCGUUGUAAAUCAUGCAGCCAUAUGAGAUGUGAGAGGAAAACCAGAUGAGUUUCCAAACUGAAACAUGAAUAAACAUUUGUUAAUGUUCAAUCAAUGCCAUUCUCAUCUCAUUUCCUGGUUGAAAAAUAAAAGUUUUACAUCUGAAA
This is a long non-coding RNA of Suricata suricatta (meerkat), 205 nucleotides long. RefSeq lists it as uncharacterized. NCBI's taxonomy places the organism in Eukaryota, Metazoa, Chordata, Mammalia, Carnivora, Herpestidae. The record is from RefSeq and is a predicted model, not a curated record. The transcript is spliced from 2 exons.